CCCACAGAAAUUUUAUCUUCUCAUUCUUUGAAAGCAAUCCCAAAGAGCAAGCUCAAAAAUAUUUAAAAUAAUGGCAGUUUCAACAUAGCAGUACAGCAUCCUUAAGAGACUAAUUUGGGUAUCAUCAGUAACACUGGUCCUUCAAGAAAUGCUUACUGAACACCACAAGAAAACACAUUUGGAGUCCUAAAUAAACAGACGGCAGUCUAAAAGGCAAAGGGAGGAAAAGAGCAGAUCACAAAAAGAUUCGGUAAUCCAAAUCGCAUCUGAUUUCUCAAAAGCAAUACUGGAAAGUAGAGACAAUGGACCAAUUUCAGAAUUUCAAAGAAAAAAAACUAUUUCAAUCCAGAAGAUAUCCAACCAAAAUGUCAACAACCUUGAGAGAAGACAUUCUUAGGCAUGCAAGGUUUUUAAAAGCUACCUGCUAUACCUAUUUCUCAGGAAGCUAAUCAAGAGAAUUAACCACAAAAGAACAAGUCUUGGAUACAGGAAAUAGAAGAUCCAACACAGAAGAAAGACAAGGGAAUAGAUGGGAGUGAAGUGAAAUCUCAGGACAACAGAAGCAUUAACAGACCUAGAGAAAAAGUUCCUAUUGGACCAGGAUGAUGGAAGGCCUCAGGAAGGAUUGCUUCAAGAAAAAAAUAAAAUUAGUAGAUUAACAAAGCACUUGAAUGCAUACGUAAGUUAUUCAGCAUCUCCAGAAGACAGAUCUACAGAUAGGUAUACAGGCAACAAAACAAUUACUAACCCUAGAGCAAAUAAAAUGUUGUGUAAAACAGAACAUGUAGUAAGAGCACAUCAUGUGGCUCAGUUGUAACAUUUAGAAAACUGUAAAUAAUGCAACCAAAUGAAAAAUUUUCCCAUGGAAAAAUUUUAACUGUAUUGGGAGAACAGUGAGAUAGUAAAUA
Molecule: long non-coding RNA, 908 nt
Organism: Hyaena hyaena (striped hyena)
Lineage: Eukaryota; Metazoa; Chordata; Mammalia; Carnivora; Hyaenidae
Exons: 4
Source: RefSeq, a predicted model, not a curated record